UACGGAGGGUGCAAGCGUUACUCGGAAUCACUGGGCGUAAAGCGCGCGCAGGCGGUUUGAUAAGUUGGAUGUGAAAUCCUAUGGCUCAACCAUAGAACUGCAUCCAAAACUGUCAAACUAGAGUCUGGGAGAGGAAGAUGGAAUUAGUUGUGUAGGGGUAAAAUCCGUAGAGAUAACUAGGAAUACCAAAAGCGAAGGCGAUCUUCUGAACAGUACUGACGCUGAGGCGCGAAAGCGUGGGGAGCAAACAGGAUUAGAUACCCUGGUAGUCCACGCCCUAAACGAUGAAUGUUAGUCGUUGGAGGCCUAGUGUCUUCAGUGAUGCAGCUAACGCAUUAAACAUUCCGCCUGGGGAGUACGGUCGCAAGAUUAAAACUCAAAGGAAUAGACGGGGACCCGCACAAGUGGUGGAGCAUGUGGUUUAAUUCGAAGAUACGCGAAGAACCUUACCUGGCCUUGACAUUGAUAGAACACAGUGGAGAUACAGUGGUGCCCUUCGGGGAGCUUGAAAACAGGUGCUGCACGGCUGUCGUCAGCUCGUGUCGUGAGAUGUUGGGUUAAGUCCCGCAACGAGCGCAACCCUCGUGACUAGUUACUAACGGUUCGGCCGAGGACUCUAGUCAGACUGCCUCCGCAAGGAGGAGGAAGGUGAGGACGACGUCAAGUCAUCAUGGCCCUUACGGCCAGGGCAACACACGUGCUACAAUGGUUAGGACAAUGAGACGCGAUACCGCGAGGUGGAGCAAAUCUAUAAAUCUAAUCUCAGUUCGGAUAGUAGUCUGCAACUCGACUACUUGAAGCUGGAAUCACUAGUAAUCGUAGAUCAGCUAUGCUACGGUGAAUACGUUCCCGGGUCUUGUACUCACCGCCCGUCACACCAUGGGAGUUGAUAUCACCCGAAGCGGGGAAGCUAAACUGGCUACCCUCCAC
This 930-nucleotide ribosomal RNA is filed under the name uncultured eubacterium SRang42. Its description in RNAcentral is "SSU rRNA". It matches the Rfam family "Bacterial small subunit ribosomal RNA", at positions 524 to 1460 of the family's 1533-position model. The record is from RNAcentral.